UACAGAGGGUGCGAGCGUUAAUCGGAAUUACUGGGCGUAAAGUGUGCGCAGGUGGCUGAGCAAGUCGAGUGUGAAAUCCCCGGGCUUAACUUGGGAAUUGCGCUCGAAACUACUUGGCUCGAGUGUGGCAGAGGAAGGUGGAAUUCCAGGUGUAGCGGUGAAAUGCGUAGAGAUCUGGAGGAACACCGAUGGCGAAGGCAGCCUUCUGGGCCAACACUGACGCUCAUGCACGAAAGCGUGGGGAGCAAACAGG
This 253-nucleotide ribosomal RNA is filed under the name uncultured bacterium. Its description in RNAcentral is "partial 16S ribosomal RNA". It matches the Rfam family "Bacterial small subunit ribosomal RNA", at positions 524 to 776 of the family's 1533-position model. The record is from RNAcentral.